RNAcentral lists this long non-coding RNA (1078 nucleotides) under Bos grunniens (domestic yak). Its description in RNAcentral is "lncRNA (ENSBGRG00000022312.1)". The record is from RNAcentral. Lineage: Eukaryota; Metazoa; Chordata; Mammalia; Artiodactyla; Bovidae.
AAAGAAGAGAGAGUGGCCAGAAGCAGAGAAGGUGGGGAGAGCAGAGACUGUGGAGAGAGAGGGUCCUUUCUCAGAGAUGCCCAUCUCCCAGCGAUGGUGACAUCGUGGCAAAGAGGAGCAUGACACAAUCCACAAAGACCAGGGCAGGUUCCCUGACAGGGAAAACACCCAGGAACAGGGAGCUGGGUGUCAGGGGCCGUCACCACCCAGCGCCCUUCGUUUAGUUCCCAACUCCUCUGCCCAAUUCCUUAACCUCAAGGUCAAAGAUACACACACACACACCUGUCUAGAUCGCCCACCUUUUCCUUCAGCAUUCCAGAGCCCAGACAAAGGUUAUCGACCAACCAGGAAAAUAAAAAGAGGGCAUCUCUCCCGGAACAGUUCGGAUUAGAGAAGAGAGUCGUAAUCUGGGGAGAUGGAGCCUUUGAAGCGCGGGAGGGGAGCGGGUCCCCUGACCCGCAGGCACGAGUGAGACACCGCGUUGGAGACAGGCCGGACUGAUGGAAUCUGCGACUGCAGAACCAGCAGAUCCACAGGACCCACUGUAGUAUUCUCCCCAAGCAACAGAGGAGGGAGCAAGGAACCACCACUUCCUCUCUUCUACCCCACCAGUCUCCCUGGUCCAUACCCACAUAGUUUCAUAGACUCAUGGUUCUCAAACUUUGGCAUGCAUCAAAAUCACCUGGAGAGCUUGUUAAAAACAUGGCAAGAAAAAAAAAAAACCACUCCCAGAGGGACUUCUCUGGUGGUCCAGUGGUUGAGAGUCUACUUGCCAAUUCAGGGUUAUAGGUUUGAUUUCUGUUCUGGAAAGAUCCCACAUGCCUGAGAGCAACUAAGCCCAUGAGCCUCAACUACUGAGCUCCUGCCCUAGAGCCCCAGAGCUGCAACCACUGAGCCUGUGUGCUCUAGAAGCCGUGCUCAGCAGCAAGAGAAGCCACUUCAAGAAGAAGCCUGUGCACCGCAUCUAGACAGUAGCCCCGGCUUGCCACAACCAGAGAAAGCCCCCAUAGAGCAAUGAUACAGGGCAGCUGAAAAUAAUAAAUAAACAGUUUUUUAAAAAUUGCCAGAGAGUCUGAUG